UACGAAGGGGGCUAGCGUUGUUCGGAAUUACUGGGCGUAAAGCGUGCGCAGGCUGUUUUGUAAGUCAGAUGUGAAAUCCCUGGGCUCAACCUAGGAACUGCGUUUGAAACUACAAGGCUAGAGUGUAGCAGAGGGGGGUAGAAUUCCACGUGUAGCAGUGAAAUGCGUAGAGAUGUGGAGGAAUACCAAUGGCGAAGGCAGCCCCCUGGGUUAACACUGACGCUCAUGCACGAAAGCGUGGGGAGCAAACAGG
RNAcentral lists this ribosomal RNA (253 nucleotides) under uncultured bacterium. RNAcentral describes it as "partial 16S ribosomal RNA". It matches the Rfam family "Bacterial small subunit ribosomal RNA", at positions 524 to 776 of the family's 1533-position model. The record is from RNAcentral.